RNAcentral lists this ribosomal RNA (476 nucleotides) under uncultured bacterium. RNAcentral's name for it is "bacterial SSU rRNA". It matches the Rfam family "Bacterial small subunit ribosomal RNA", at positions 32 to 519 of the family's 1533-position model. The record is from RNAcentral.
AAUCAACGCUGGCGGCGUGCCUAACACAUGCAAGUCGAACGGGAAAGUGGAGCAAUCCAUGAGUAUAGUGGCGACCGGGUGAGUAACACGUGACUAACCUACCUUCAAGUGGGGGAUAACCUCGGGAAACCGGGGCUAAUACCGCAUAAUAUCUCUGUUAUGAGAAAGCAGGGAUCAAAGGAGCAAUUCGCUGGAAGAGGGGGUCGCGGCUGAUUAGCUAGUUGGUGGGGUAAGGCCCACCAAGGCUUUGAUCGGUAGCCGGCCUGAGAGGGCGCACGGCCACACUGGAACUGAAACACGGUCCAGACUCCUACGGGAGGCAGCAGUGGGGAAUUUUGUCGCAAUGGGGGAAACCCGUGACGCAGCAACGCCGCGUGGAGGAUGAAGUCCCUUGGGACGUAAACUCCUUUCGACCGGGAAGAUUAUGACGGUACCAUAUGAAUAAAGGACCGGCUAACUACGUGCCAGCAGCCGCU